Molecule: ribosomal RNA, 285 nt
Filed under: uncultured Oscillospiraceae bacterium
Lineage: Bacteria; Bacillati; Bacillota; Clostridia; Eubacteriales; Oscillospiraceae
Description: partial 16S ribosomal RNA
Rfam family: Bacterial small subunit ribosomal RNA (bases 45-285)
Source: RNAcentral
UUUUCUCUGAAGUUUUCGGAUGGAAGAGAGUUCAGCUUAGUGGCGAACGGGUGAGUAACACGUGAGCAACCUACCUUUCAGUGGGGGACAACAUUUGGAAACGGCUGCUAAUACCGCAUAAGCCCACGACCCGGCAUCGGGCUGAGGGAAAAGGAUUUAUUCGCUUCAGGAUGGACUCGCGUCCGAUUAGCUAGUUGGUGAGGUAAUGGCCCACCAAGGCGACGAUCGGUAGCCGGACUGAGAGGUUGAACGGCCACAUUGGGACUGAGACACGGCCCAGACUCC